GACGAACGCUGGCGGCGUGCUUAACACAUGCAAGUCGAACGGAAAGGCCUCUUUCGGGGGGUACUCGAGUGGCGAACGGGUGAGUAACACGUGAGUAACCUGCCCUUGACUUUGGGAUAACUUCAGGAAACUGGGGCUAAUACCGGAUAGGAGCUCCUGCUGCAUGGUGGGGGUUGGAAAGUUUCGGCGGUUGGGGAUGGACUCGCGGCUUAUCAGCUUGUUGGUGGGGUAGUGGCUUACCAAGGCUUUGAUGGGUAGCCGGCCUGAGAGGGUGACCGGCCACAUUGGGACUGAGAUACGGCCCAGACUCCUACGGGAGGCAGCAGUGGGGAAUAUUGCACAAGGGGUGGAAGCCUGAUGCAGCAACGCCGUGGGCGGGAGGACGGCCUUCGGGUUGUAAACCGCUUUCGCUCAUGACGAAGCUUUGUGUGACGGUAGUGGGUAAAGAAGCACCGGCUAACUACGUG
This 467-nucleotide ribosomal RNA is filed under the name uncultured bacterium. RNAcentral's name for it is "partial 16S ribosomal RNA". It matches the Rfam family "Bacterial small subunit ribosomal RNA", at positions 28 to 507 of the family's 1533-position model. The record is from RNAcentral.